UACGUAGGUGGCGAGCGUUGUCCGGAUUUACUGGGCGUAAAGAGCGCGCAGGCGGUCGUGCAAGUCGCGUGUGAAGGCCCCCGGCUCAACUGGGGAGGGUCACGCGAUACUGCUCGACUCGAAGGCAGGAGAGGGAAGUGGAAUUCCCGGUGUAGUGGUGAAAUGCGUAGAUAUCGGGAGGAACACCAGUGGCGAAGGCGACUUCCUGGCCUGUUCUUGACGCUGAGGCGCGAAAGCUAGGGUAGCAAACGGG
Molecule: ribosomal RNA, 253 nt
Filed under: uncultured bacterium
Lineage: Bacteria
Description: partial 16S ribosomal RNA
Rfam family: Bacterial small subunit ribosomal RNA
Source: RNAcentral